Molecule: long non-coding RNA, 410 nt
Filed under: Trifolium pratense (red clover)
Lineage: Eukaryota; Viridiplantae; Streptophyta; Magnoliopsida; Fabales; Fabaceae
Description: long non-coding RNA (TPRA_LNC009591)
Source: RNAcentral
AGAAGAUAUAAGUAACAUGAACAUCAACUAAAUUAGAGGAGGAUAAAAUAUUUCAAAGCAAAACUGAGCUAGGCUAUGUAUUAAUACUAUAUAUCUCUAACAGAUAGCUUAUGGAAACAACAUAUGAUAUGUUCAUAAGUUGUUUUCAACUUAUUCUUAUAAGUUAUAAGCUCUCUAGGAUAACUUGUGAAAACAACUUAUCGCGUAUAUGUAAACAGCCUGACAAUAUUUUCAUCUUUUCUUAUAUAAAAUAACUUCAUAUGAUAAGUACAUGUGUCAUAAGCGCUUAAUUAAGAUGUUUAUCCAAACAUGCCCAUAGUUUCCAACUGCAAAUUCAAAAGAAAGAGAUAGCACAGUAUCUUACAAUAGCUCUACGAUACUCUCUUUCGAGGUAGAAUGAAUCACCAAGU